GAUGAAGAACGUAGUAAAAUGCGAUAAGUAAUGUGAAUUGCAGAAUUCAGUGAAUCAUCGAAUCUUUGAACGCACAUUGCGCCCGCCAGUAUUCUGGCGGGCAUGCCUGUUCGAGCGUCAUUUCAACCAUCAAGCCCCCGGCUUGUGUUGGGGACCUGCGGCUGCCGCAGGCCCUGAAAACCAGUGGCGGGCUCGCUAGUCACUCCGAGCGUAGUAAUACAUCUCGCUCAGGGCGUGCUGCGGGUUCCGGCCGUUAAAAAGCCUUAUUUACCCAAGGUUGACCUCGGAUCAGGUAGGAAGACCCGCUGAACUUAAGCAUAUCAAUAAGCGGAGGA
RNAcentral lists this unclassified non-coding RNA (335 nucleotides) under soil metagenome. Its description in RNAcentral is "partial contains 5.8S ribosomal RNA, internal transcribed spacer 2, and large subunit ribosomal RNA". The stretch from base 1 to 120 matches the Rfam family "5.8S ribosomal RNA", at positions 35 to 154 of the family's 154-position model. The record is from RNAcentral.